UCCCUGAUUGUGUCUCCGAGCUCCCCACAGGGUUGGGAACGGAACGCUGCUUGCUCCCUAGUAGAGCUGGCUAAGAGACCAGUGAGAGCAAGCAAGCGUGGAUCUGAAGCCUCCAAGGCGCCACCGAACAUCCGUUCCUUGACAAUCUCAGCAACCACACUCGCUGGGGACUGAUGAGUGAUAUCCUCUGCGUUCAGAAUGUCGUUGUCAGGAGCGGACAACAGUGGUAUCACGGGGACCUCCU
This 244-nucleotide long non-coding RNA is filed under the name Manihot esculenta (cassava). RNAcentral's name for it is "long non-coding RNA (MESC_LNC009425)". Lineage: Eukaryota; Viridiplantae; Streptophyta; Magnoliopsida; Malpighiales; Euphorbiaceae. The record is from RNAcentral.